AUAGAGAAUAGUUAGUGGCAGACGGGUGAGUAAUGCAUAGGAAUCUACCUAGUAGUAUGGGAUAGCCACUAGAAAUGGUGGGUAAUACUGUAUAAUCCCUGCGGGGGAAAGAUUUAUCGCUAUUAGAUGAGCCUAUGUUAGAUUAGCUAGUUGGUAGGGUAAAGGCCUACCAAGGCGAUGAUCUAUAGCUGGUCUGAGAGGAUGAUCAGCCACACUGGAACUGAGAUACGGUCCAGACUCCUACGGGAGGCAGCAGUGGGGAAUAUUGGACAAUGGGCGCAAGCCUGAUCCAGCUAUGCCGCAUGAGUGAGGAAGGCCUUAGGGUUGUAAAACUCUUUCAGUAGGGAAGAUAAUGACGGUACCUACAGAAGAAGUCCCGGCAAACUCCGUGCCAGCAGCCGCGGUAAUACGGAGGGGGCAAGCGUUGUUCGGAAUUAUUGGGCGUAAAGGGCAUGUAGGCGGUUCGGUAAGUUAAAGGUGAAAUGCCAGGGCUUAAC
RNAcentral lists this ribosomal RNA (497 nucleotides) under Anaplasma phagocytophilum. RNAcentral describes it as "bacterial SSU rRNA". It matches the Rfam family "Bacterial small subunit ribosomal RNA", at positions 81 to 613 of the family's 1533-position model. Lineage: Bacteria; Pseudomonadati; Pseudomonadota; Alphaproteobacteria; Rickettsiales; Anaplasmataceae. The record is from RNAcentral.